AUGCUGACCAGAAAAGCUUUCUAACGCGUGUUUAUCAUCGUCCGUACCGCAAACCGACACAGGUGCUCAGGUCGAGAAGACCAAGGUGUACGAGUGAUUCUUCGUUAAGGAACUCGGCAAUACAGCGACCGUAACUUCGGGAUAAGGUCUGCCCCAGCAAUGGGGCCGCAGCUAAAGAUUCCACGCAACUGUUUACCAAAAACAUAGGUCUCUGCUAACACGAAAGUGGAUGUAUAGGGGCUGACUCCUGCCCAGUGCUGGAAGGUUAAGGGGAGAGCUUCACGGCUUGAACUGAAGCCCCAGUGAACGGCGGCGGUAACUAUAACCGUCCUAAGGUAGCGAAAUUCCUUGUCAGGUAAGUUCUGACCCGCACGAAUGGAGUAAUGAUGUGGAAACUGUCUCAACGAAGAGCUCGGUGAAAGUGCAUUGACGGUAAAGAUGCCGUCUGUCCGCAGCAGGACGAAAAGACCCUAUGGAGCUUUACUACAGCUUGACAUUGGAUCGGAUUGUAACAUGUGUAGCAUAGGUGGGAGACUAUGAAGCCAUCGCGCUAGCGAUGGUGGAGUCAAAAUAUGAAAUACCACCCUUGUUCCAAUCUUAUUCUUACCCCGACCGUUAUCCGGUCAGGGGACCGUGUCUGGUGGGUAGUUUAACUGGGGCGGUUGCCUCCUAAAGAGUAUCGGAGGCGUUCAAAGGUUAGCUAGGUACGGAUGGAAAUCGUGCCGAUAGUGCAUACGCAUAAGCUAGCUUGACUGUGAGGCCGACAAGCCAAUCAGGGACGAAAGUCGGAGUAAGUGACCCGCUGUAUUAGCAUUUAUGCUUAUGAAAGUGGGAUCGACAGCGCAAACGGAUAAAAGUUACCCUAGGGAUAACAGGCUUAUCGGGCCCAAUAGUUCACAUAGACGGCCCGGUUUGGCACCUCGAUGUCGGCUCAUCACAUCCUGGGGCUGGAGAAGGUCCCAAGGGUCCGGCUGUUCGCCGGUUAAAGUGGUACAUGAGCUGGGUUCAGAACGUCGUGAGACAGUUCGGU
RNAcentral lists this ribosomal RNA (1030 nucleotides) under bacterium. RNAcentral's name for it is "partial 23S ribosomal RNA". It matches the Rfam family "Bacterial large subunit ribosomal RNA", at positions 1602 to 2635 of the family's 2925-position model. The record is from RNAcentral.